GCCCACGUCAUGGCGCCUGAGGAGAACGCGGGUACCAAACUCUUGCUGCAGAGUUUCGAGCGCCGCUUCCUAGCGGCGCGCACACUGCGCUCCUUCCCCUGGCAGGUGGGCGGCGGGGCGAGCGGAGAGGCCUGCGGGGCUUGCGGAAGUCCAGGGGCAGACGGGAUGGGUCUCCCUGCUGAAACCCCCGGCGCUCCUGCCACGUGCACCCUGCGACAUCUGAAGGUCAGGCUUUCAGCCGCUGUGGCUUCCACUUCCAACUGGCUCCGCGUCCCCAGGGAGGGAUCACAUAGCGCUUUGCCAACACAUUCUAUUGCGUGUUUUAAUGUUCCUGUGAAUGCGCCCUUGAGAUUUCUCUCUCUCCCGUCCACACGGAGCUUAGAAGCAAAAUUAAGAGACUCAUCAGAUUCUGAGCUGCUGCGGGAUAUUUUGCAGAAGCACGAGGCUGUCCACACGGAGCUUUUGGACGAGCUGUACGAGGCGCUGGCAGAGACCCUGAUGGCCAAGGAGUCCACCCAGGGCCACUGGAGCUAUUUGCUGCCCUCGGAAGGCUCGGUCACACUCUCCGAGCACAGCCAUCAUCUCCCACGGUACCACAGGCCUGGUCACAUGGGACGCUGCCCGCUACCUUGCAGAAUGGGCCAUCAAGAACCUGGCAGCCUUCACUAACAGGACUGUCCUAGAGCUUGGCAGUGGCGCCGGCCUUACAGGCCUGUCCAUCUGCAAGAUGUGCCACCCCCGGACAUACAUCUUCAGCGACUGUCACAGCCGGGUCCUCGAGCAGCUCCGAGGGAAUGUCCUUCUCAAUGGCCUCUCAUUAGAGGCAGACAUCACUGCCAACUUAGAUAGCCCCAGGGUGACAGUGGCCCAGCUGGACUGGGAUGUAGCGACGGUCCAUCAGCUCUCUGCCUUCCAGCCAGAUGUUGUCAUUACAGCAGGUAAUGCCCAGCCCCGGGCAUCCUGUGCAGGCGGUGUCCUUGCAGCUCUACCCAGCUCUUGGCUCUGGGAAAAGGGAACAGUGGAUGCUGUCGGGCAUGGACAUGAUGGGGCUUCCAGAAGAGUUACUCCGGGCCUCCAGGGGGACAUCAAAGGACAGGGGUGCCUCUUAAGGUGACCUUCAAGCCACAGCCCUCUUGUUGGAGACAGGCAUACUCCCGUUACAGUCGUCACCACACGGCUCUGUUCCAGAGCCAUGCCCUGUGUCCUUCAGAGACCACAGGAGGAAAACAACCACUUCUGGGAUGAGGACAGGGCCCUUGGGAGAAGGUGGUGUUUGGCUGGGCCACCAAAAACCCCUCACCCCUGCCAGCACACUCAGUCCCCUCUCUGGUGGAACAGAGCUCUGCCUGUGGUCCUGGGUCCCAGCCCUGAAACCCACAGGUCCAGCGGUGGCCAGGGACAGAGGCCCACCCCUGCAAGCCAGCAGACCAAUCGGCAGACACCUGAAACACGAAGUUCACGGUAGGGUCAGGCUUUCUGCCAUUCAAAGCCCUCUAGAUAGGCCCAGAACCAGAGCUGGUUUUUUAAGGAA
RNAcentral lists this long non-coding RNA (1531 nucleotides) under Homo sapiens (human). RNAcentral's name for it is "novel transcript". Lineage: Eukaryota; Metazoa; Chordata; Mammalia; Primates; Hominidae. The record is from RNAcentral.